Molecule: unclassified non-coding RNA, 329 nt
Filed under: uncultured fungus
Lineage: Eukaryota; Fungi
Description: sequence contains ITS1, 5.8S rRNA gene
Rfam family: 5.8S ribosomal RNA (bases 281-329)
Source: RNAcentral
UUUCCGUAGGUGAACCUGCGGAAGGAUCAUUACCGAGUUAGGGUCCCUCCCACGGGGCCCGACCUCCCAACCCCGUGUCUAAUAAACCUGUACGUGUUGCUUCGGCGGACCGGUUCGCUGCGUGGUCUCGCGACCACAACGCCUGCCGCCGGGGGUAAAGGAGUUCACCCUCCCCCCCUGGAGAGCGUCCGUCGAUGGCCCAACCAAACAAACUCCCAAACCAAAAUGUAUGUGAAACACAAUUCUGAAUCAGACCUUUUGAUAUACCAAUCAAAAACAAAACUUUCAACAACGGAUCUCUUGGUUCUGGCAUCGAUGAAGAACGCAGC